CAGCAGUCGCCGCGGGAAUACGAAGGGUGCAAGCGUUAAUCGGAAUUACUGGGCGUAAAGCGUGCGUAGGCGGUUUGUUAAGUCUGUUGUGAAAUCCCCGGGCUCAACCUGGGAAUGGCAAUGGAUACUGGCAAGCUAGAGUGUGUCAGAGGAUGGUGGAAUUCCCGGUGUAGCGGUGAAAUGCGUAGAGAUCGGGAGGAACAUCAGUGGCGAAGGCGGCCAUCUGGGACAACACUGACGCUGAGGCACGAAAGCGUGGGGAGCAAACAGGAUUAGAUACCCGGGUAGUCCCUGUCUCUUAUAC
RNAcentral lists this ribosomal RNA (304 nucleotides) under uncultured bacterium. RNAcentral's name for it is "partial 16S ribosomal RNA". It matches the Rfam family "Bacterial small subunit ribosomal RNA", at positions 509 to 807 of the family's 1533-position model. The record is from RNAcentral.